CCUUCCUGUACGGUGUGUGGAUUACUACAGUUAUUUUCUAUCUUUGGAAUUGCCAGAAUCCAGGAGUUGUAAGCCUUUCAAGCUGAAGCAUCACAGGGAGAAGUUCUAAAGUGACUCAAGGAUGGAUGCAGAAAAUCCUCUGAUGGCAUAUGGCGACAUCUGAACGGCCGACUGGUGGCACCUGCCUCUUUGCUACCUUACCUAGUAAGGGCAUAUCAUCUACCAACCCAUACAGGAGACUCCUCAAAACUUUGCAGCAAUAUCAUCGAACAGUAAGAGCAGCGUCACCAAAGCCUCCUGACCAACCUUACCACCAACUACAACCAGGUGAUUGGGUUUACGUAAAAACUUUUCAGAGGAAAAACUGCCUGAGCCCGAGGUGGAAGGGGCCUUUCCAGGUCCUACUCACAACUGUGACUGCAGUUCACUGUGCAGGACUACCAACGUGAAUCCAUUCAUCUCAUUGCAAGAAGACCUGUCUUGUGGGG
This is a long non-coding RNA of Protopterus annectens (West African lungfish), 488 nucleotides long. RefSeq lists it as uncharacterized. The record is from RefSeq and is a predicted model, not a curated record. The transcript has 3 exons. Lineage: Eukaryota; Metazoa; Chordata; Ceratodontiformes; Protopteridae.